GAUCAUGGCUCAGGACGAACGCUGGCGGCGUGCUUAACACAUGCAAGUCGAACGGGGAUAUCCGAGCGGAGAGGCUUCGGCCUCAAAGGUUGGGUAUUCGAGUGGCGGACGGGUGAGUAACGCGUGAACAAUCUGUCCCGGACAGGGGAAUAACACUUGGAAACAGGUGCUAAUACCGCAUAAGACCACGGUGUCGCAUGGCACAGGGGUAAAAGGAGCGAUCCGGUUCGGGGUGAGUUCGCGUCCGAUUAGCCAGUUGGCGGGGUAACGGCCCACCAAAGCGACGAUCGGUAGCCGACCUGAGAGGGUGAUCGGCCACAUUGGAACUGAGAGACGGUCCAAACUCCUACGGGAGGCAGCAGUGGGAAUAUUGGGCAAUGGGCGCAAAGCCUGACCCAGCAACGCCGCGUGAGCGAAGAAGGCCUUCGGGUUGUAAAGCUCUGUUAUAGGGGACGAAGGAAGUGACGGUACCCUAUAAGGAAGCCCCGGCUAACUACGUGCCAGCCGCCGC
Molecule: ribosomal RNA, 511 nt
Filed under: uncultured bacterium
Lineage: Bacteria
Description: bacterial SSU rRNA
Rfam family: Bacterial small subunit ribosomal RNA
Source: RNAcentral